Molecule: long non-coding RNA, 5236 nt
Organism: Canis lupus familiaris (dog)
Lineage: Eukaryota; Metazoa; Chordata; Mammalia; Carnivora; Canidae
Exons: 7
Source: RefSeq, a predicted model, not a curated record
UUAAUUUUAUAGACAAUGAGGAAACAAUGAAGAUUUCUAAGCAGCAUCUGCAUUUAGGAAUUUUUACUUAGACUUUCUCUCUGAAAUGUUACUUUUAUUAAAUUAUAGUGCCCUCUUUCAGAAUCCCAAAACUCACAGGUGGAGGCUAUAAAAAAAAUUCUAUAAACUACUUCCUUAAGGACAACAUUCUGGCAGUGGAUUUGUGGAUCAUAAUUUAGCCCAGGUUUGUUACAUUUUCUGAUAAAUCAUCACCUGAGAGAUUGAUCUGUGAGAAACCAAGAAUCACAAAAGUCAGUCUAGUCUAUUAAUGUAGUCUAGAAACAUUUCAUUAAUGCCAAAGCAAAUUCAGAAUCUGUCUCUCAUUUAAUGCAUUGAAAAGAAGCCAACUUACACAGUACCACAUUGUUAUUGCUCCUUGCUUCAUGAUAAGAAAAGAGGUAUUAUGUCAAUAUAUUGGCAAUGGAAAACUACAUGUCAUAUGAUUGCCUUGCAAACUGUUCUCCCUUAUUUUUAUUUUUUUAGAGAAAUAUCUUACAACAAACUGACAUUAAUAAUAAAUAUGAAAGUCAAGAGGUUCUACUCACAUUACAUCUCUAGUAAAAUAAUUUUUAUGCCAAAUACACUUCAUAAUAUCAUGUCAUGAGAAAAUUCUUUCAUCUUUUCUUGUGGAGUCAAUAGUCAUUGUUUCGAUUUUAUAAUAAAAAGACUCAAUACAUAAUGGCUUGCAUAUUUUACUUAAAAUCACAAAGAUGAAUGAAUUUAAAAAAACUGUAAACAUCACAUUUUUCUUAAGGAGAGGCAAACAAAAAGUUAAAACAAUCACAAUACGUUUCCAUAAUGAAAACAAAGUGAUAGCAAGGAAAUCCUAGAACAGAAAACAAGUUCAGUGACAGAUAUUAGGCAAACUGUAUUUAUUAUACUAGUAGAAAGAAAAAAACUUACAUAUUAAUAGAAAAAGACACUAUUGCAUUAAAAAACAGAUCAACUACAUGCAACAGAUGAGACAUCUGAAAAUAGGGAUGUAGAAAUGUCAAAAAUAAAGGGAUGGAUGGGUAGGAGUACCUGGGUGGCCAAUGUUGGUUAAGCAUCUGACUCUUGAUCUCAACUCAGGACUUGAUCUCAGGAUUGUGAGUUCAAGCCCCAUGUUGGAGCCUACUUAAAAAAGGCUGAAGAAAGGAUGGAUAAAGACAUAUCUGAAAAAUAUAGAUAAUAAAAUUAAUAGGAAUAAAAACUAAGGUUUAAAUAUUAAAAAGAAUUUGAAUUUACAUAAUACAUUAUUACAUGAUACAAAUAGACAAUUUAUAAUAACAGUCAUUACUGGGAAAGAGGACAUAGCUGUGUGGUAGCAUAAAUGGCUUAAUUGUCAAAUCAGAUUCACAUGAAUCAUAUAUCUUUCUAAUACUCAAUUUUCCUAAUAAAUGAUAAGAUACAGCAAACACAAGGCACAGGCAAACAUUCUUCCUUGGGAGAAGUUUGAUGCUGUCAGACUCAAUACCCAAUUAAAUUCCUUCUCAUUAUCCUACAUUCUGAUUUCAGAGUUAAUCUGGAGUGUUUUUUGAGAAAUGUGUGUGGAGAUAUUGUUUUGUUUAUGGUACUUCUCAAUUUUAUAUCUCAUUCUCCAGACAGCGGUGCUCCCACAAUUCUGUAUGUAUUUAAAAUUAAGCAACAGAGGCAAUCCAGGCAUGUUAGUUUUCUAUUGCUGCCACAACAAAUUACCACACAGAUGUCAGUUUCAAACAAUACAAAUGUAUUAUGUUACAGUUUCUCUGGGUCAGAAGUCAGAGGGUCUUACAAGGUUAAAAUCAAGGUGUCAGAUAGAUAGAUUCCUCUCUUAAGGCUCUAAGGAAGAAUCUCUCCCAGGCAGAGGAAGAAACAGGCUCCCCGCAAGGAGCCCAAUGUGGGACCCAAUCCGGGAUCCCAGGAUCACGCCCUGAGCCACAGGCAGAUGCUCAACCACUAAGCCACUCAGGCGUCCCAAGGUCCCCAUUUCUUUGCUGGAUGUCAGGUAGGGGAGUCCCUUAGCAACUAAAGGCAACUCUCCAGUCAUCACACACAGCCUCCAUGUUGCAGAACUCUAGCAAUGAUUUUUCUCACACUUACAGAAUCAGCCUAACUUUCCCUUCUGUUGCAUCAUUUCUACCUUCUUCUGUUGCAUCUCAUGCCAUCUACAAAAAGUUCUGUUUUUAAGGUCUCUUAUGACUAGAUUGGGCCCACCUAGCUAAUCCAGGAUAAUUGCCUGAUUUUAAGUUCCAUAACCUUAAUUACGCAUGCAGAGUCUUUUUUCUCAUGUAUCAAUAACCAAGACAGAUUCCAGACAUUGAGUCAUGGACAUCUUCGGAGAGCCGUUAUUUGACCUACCACAACAAGUAUAUCCACUUAAAAUUGUUUCAUAGAUAAGAACUUUGUUAUCUUUUCACUAGUAUUAGCAUUACUAUCUGAAUCAGAUAUGAUUAUUAGCAUGCAUACAGAAGACUGGCCUGGAUCAUUCUUCCUUCCUGAACAUCCCUGAGAGAAGAAAGAAAGGAAUUUUGGCCUGCUGUUGACCUUUCUUAUUUUCCCAAACUGGCAUAGUACUUCAGGUGAAAAACAAUAUUCAAUCAAAAUAUAUAAAGCACAAUUACCAGAAAUUCAUAGAAUUAAUACCUUUAAAUAUGUAAUAAGGGUGAGCAAUUUAUGCUUAUUUAAAGCUUCAUUAGUAAAAGACUAUACUUGUCUUUGAAGAGUGUAUCAAACAUUUAUAAACAUUACCAAAUGUGACACAAUGAAGAAAAACUCAACAAAUCCUAAAAAAUAGAAGUAGUAGAUUCCAGUUGAAUAAAAAUGAAGAAAAAGGGAAGAAUUACGUAAAUAUGAAAGAGGAGGAAAAGAAGAGAUAUUUGUUAAUCAUUUCCUAUGUGCCAGGAACAGUUUUAAGUACACUUUCAUCCUCUAAAACCCAGUAAGGUAGGGACUGUUAUUUUUUUGUUGACGUAUGAUUAACAUACAGUGUUGUAUCAGUUCCAGGUGUACAAUAUAAUGAUUUAAUAAUUCUAUAGUCUUGCUCAUAAUAAGUGUACUCUUGGUUCCCUUUAUUUCACCCUCCCCCCAUACUCUCCUCUGUUAUUUUGCAGUUAAGGAGACCAAAUACAGGGGUAUUAAGUGAAAUGCUCAAGUGAAAUUCACAAGCGGGAAGUGGCAUCAAAGUAAAGUGACUCAGAGUUUGUCUUUAUUUUUUGUAAGAUUUUAUUUAUUUACUCAUGAGAGACAUAGAGAGAGGGAGAGAGAGAAAGAGAGAGGCAGAGACACAGGCAGAGGGAGAAGGAAUCUCCAUGCAGGGAGCCUGAUGUGGGACUCGAUCCUGGGACUCCAGGAUCAUGCCCUGAGCCGAAGGCAGGCACUAAACCACUGAGCCACCCAGGGAUCCCCUCAGAAUUUGUCUUUUUAACCGCCACACUAUGGUUAGCCUGAAAAAAAAUCUAGAAAUUAAUAAUAAUAUAAAUUAGAAUUUAAAAAAUGUUUUGGUUUGAAUGUUUAUGCCCCUCAAAUUCAUAUGCCAAAGCUCUAACCCCCAAUGUAGCUAUAUUUGGAGAUGAGGCCUUUAAGGAAAAAAUUAAGUUUAAAUGAAGUUAUAAGAGUGGGUCCUGAUUUAAUAGAAUUAGUGUCCUCAUAAGAAGAGACACCAGAGAGCUCCCUUGUUCUCUUGUUCUCUCCACAUGUACCACACACACCAAGGAAAAAUCAUAGAAGCACAAGAGAUAAGGUGGCCAUCUGCCACCCAAGGUGAGAGCCUUCACCAGAUACCAGUCCUGCUGGUACAUUGAUCUUCAGUUUCCAAUCUCCAGAACACAGUUGUUUCAAGGAUGUAUAUAUGACCCAGUCAAGAAACCUAAGACCAAGAAGACUUUGGCUGAAACUCAUGAGAUUAAAUGUGUACAUGUGAAAGCAGCUCUUCUGAAAACCUCCAAUGUAACAAGAACAUUGUAGAGACCAAUGUACCAGACACAACAAUGACAUUGGGGUGAUUGCAAUCUCAUUGGGCUGAGAAAAUGGACCUAAAACAUACAGCAAGAAAAGAUUCCAAUGAAUAAAUGUAAUUUCAGUAAAGAGAAGUUGAACAGUUGUGUUUAAUAAUUUAUGGCUUGAUAAGAAGUGAGAAGAGACCAAAAAAAAAAAAAAAAGUCACUGAACAAAGAAGCAGAAGAAAGUAUAAAGAAAGAAGUGUUGAGACCCUGAGGUUUUCAUAAGGACUAUGAAGGUUCUGGUAUAAAUUGACUAUUUAAAUUUAUUCUGUAGACCUUAACAGUCAAGAGACCAAAUAGACCAUAACAUUAUGUACCUAAUCCUGUGCAAAGUGCUAGGGAAUAAAGAAAUGAGAUAUGGUUCAUACCCUACUAGGCUACCAUGUUCAUAAAUGAUGAUAAUGCAUGACAUUCAAUGAGUGAACCAAUAAACUAAGUUCUACAAAACAGUUAUUCCACGUUCAAUGCUUUAAAAGGCUAAGGACAUCAGGCUCAAUGUUAUUAUUGGAUUUCUUUCAUCAAGUUGGAAAAGACAUACUGGAAAUGUAUGUAUAUUCGUGUCUUGUUAAGGUGUCCAGGUCAAUCUCCUCACUUAAUAACCCAUCAAGAAAACAUUACUUUGUAAAACACUGAGCUAUAACUUUCUGGCCUUAAAAAUAUCACAGGCUAUGGGUAGAAAUUUAGCUGUUUAAAUUAGAAAAUGACAGUUGUUUUGAAUCAGAGAUCAAUACCGUGUUGUGAGGAGCUUUUUACUGUAAUUUUUAAAAAGCUGUACCAGGUUACUUUUGCUUUUGCAAAUGGUCAUCUCUACAAUCAACAGGGUGCAUAAGAUUUUAUAACUGUUGAAACAGGAAAGCAUCAGACAAUGGGAUACUAUGCAAUGUCACUGUUGUUGGAAACUCUGAAACAAGAUGACAGAAGCUGUCAUCCUUCUUGAGGACCAGUCUUUGAGACCUGGAGGUUUCAGGUCUUUGGAACAACUCAACUCACUCCUCUUUGACAUUGAUGUACUCAUUUGUAUGGUGAAAAAUCUUGGAACCUUUACUUCCAGACUAGAAAAUACAGCUAUUGUCAGGAAAUCAGACAUUGAGUAAAUUUCCAUGGAGACACAGAAUGUAAGUUUCUAGAAGACAGCCAUGCAGAGUUCCUGGCACAGGGCCUCAUACUUGGAAGACUCUCAGUAGCUGUUAAUGAAUGAAUAAACAGUACCUGAAACUAAAGCAUCUUCCUAUUGAUGG